AUGGUUAAGUGACUAAGCGUAUACGGUGGAUGCCUUGGCAGUCAGAGGCGAUGAAGGACGUAGUAACUUGCGAAAAGCGUUGGCGAGCUAGUAACAAGCAUUUGAGCUAACGAUGUCCGAAUGGGGAAACCCACUCACAUAAGUGAGUAUCACAUACUGAAUACAUAGGUAUGUGAGGCAAACCCGGGGAACUGAAACAUCUAAGUACCCGGAGGAACAGAAAUCAACCGAGAUUCCCCUAGUAGCGGCGAGCGAACGGGGAUUAGCCCUUAAGUCUAUAGGGUGUUAGUGGAAUGAGUUGGAAAGCUCAGCGGCACAGGGUGAUAGCCCCGUACAUGAAAACUAACUAUAGAUGAAAACGAGUAGGACGGGACACGUGACAUCUUGUCUGAACAUGGGGGGACCAUCCUCCAAGGCUAAAUACUCCUGACUGACCGAUAGUGAACCAGUACCGUGAGGGAAAGGCGAAAAGAACCCCUGUGAGGGGAGUGAAAUAGAACCUGAAACCGUAUACGUACAAGCAGUGGGAGCGGUUCCAUUCUUCGGAAUAAGAGACCGUGACUGCGUACCUUUUGUAUAAUGGGUCAGCGACUUACAUUUUGUAGCGAGGUUAAGCGAAUAGCGGAGCCGUAGGGAAACCGAGUGUUAACUGCGCGUUUAGUUGCAAGGUGUAGACCCGAAACCCGGUGAUCUAUCCAUGGGCAGGUUGAAGGUUGAGUAACAUCAACUGGAGGACCGAACCGACUUAUGUUGAAAAAUGAGCGGAUGACUUGUGGAUGGGGGUGAAAGGCCAAUCAAACCGGGAGAUAUCUGGUUCUCCUCGAAAGCUAUUUAGGUAGCGCCUCGAGCGAAUACCAUU
RNAcentral lists this ribosomal RNA (859 nucleotides) under Shewanella benthica KT99. Its description in RNAcentral is "bacterial LSU rRNA". It matches the Rfam family "Bacterial large subunit ribosomal RNA", at positions 1 to 897 of the family's 2925-position model. The record is from RNAcentral. Lineage: Bacteria; Pseudomonadati; Pseudomonadota; Gammaproteobacteria; Alteromonadales; Shewanellaceae.